RNAcentral lists this ribosomal RNA (487 nucleotides) under uncultured bacterium. RNAcentral's name for it is "bacterial SSU rRNA". It matches the Rfam family "Bacterial small subunit ribosomal RNA", at positions 28 to 533 of the family's 1533-position model. The record is from RNAcentral.
GAUGAACGUUGGCGGCGUGCCUAAUACAUGCAAGUCGAACGAAGACUGUAGUAAUACUGUCUUAGUGGCGAACGGGUGAGUAACGCGUGGGUGACCUGCCCCGAAGUGUGGGAUAACAGUCCGAAAGGAUUGCUAAUACUGCAUAAUAUCCAAGAGAUUAGAUGCUUUUGGAUUAAAGGAGUAAUUCGCUUCGGGAGGGGCCCGCGUCCCAUCAGCUAGUUGGUAAGGUAAUGGCUUACCAAGGCGAUGACGGGUAGGGGACCUGAGAGGGUGGCCCCCCACAAUGGAACUGAAACACGGUCCAUACACCUACGGGUGGCAGCAGUAGGGAAUAUUGGUAAUGCGCGAAAGCGUGAACCAGCAACGCCGCGUGUGCGAUGAAGGCCUUCGGGUUGUAAAGCACUUUUCGGGAGGAAGAGGAAGGACUGUACUCCCAGAAUAAGCCUCGGCUAACUACGUGCCAGCAGCCGCGGUAAGCUCGUCUCUA